CAGCAGCCGCGGGAAUACGAAGGGGGCUAGCGUUGCUCGGAAUCACUGGGCGUAAAGGGUGCGUAGGCGGGUCUUUAAGUCAGGGGUGAAAUCCUGGAGCUCAACUCCAGAACUGCCUUUGAUACUGAGGAUCUUGAGUUCGGGAGAGGUGAGUGGAACUGCGAGUGUAGAGGUGAAAUUCGUAGAUAUUCGCUAGAACACCAGUGGCGAAGGCGGCCAACUGGUCCGAUACUGACGCUGAGGUGCGAAAGCGUGGGGAGCAAACAGGAUUAGAUACCCCUGUAGUCCCUGUCUCUUAUAC
RNAcentral lists this ribosomal RNA (301 nucleotides) under uncultured bacterium. RNAcentral describes it as "partial 16S ribosomal RNA". It matches the Rfam family "Bacterial small subunit ribosomal RNA", at positions 509 to 807 of the family's 1533-position model. The record is from RNAcentral.